This 2473-nucleotide long non-coding RNA is filed under the name Linum usitatissimum (flax). Its description in RNAcentral is "long non-coding RNA (LUSI_LNC008320)". The record is from RNAcentral. Lineage: Eukaryota; Viridiplantae; Streptophyta; Magnoliopsida; Malpighiales; Linaceae.
UUCUGCCUGUAAUGGGGCGCUCGUCUCAUUCCAUGCCAUGAGUUCUUGCUCUGCAAGUGAGCUAACAUCUUAGGAGACAUAGGAGGAACCGGAGAACUUGGUGUGUAAUCAUACCACCACCGGCCAUGGCCCAAACUAUGCAGGUGACUUUCAUAAUCACCACCUAGAUCUGACAAGGAGUUCGAUGCUUCCAGGGUUCCAACAGUACUAGCUGAUGACUGACAGCUUAAUUGACUAGGAUAAAUACUUUCGGAAGGAAAUUCAACUGGAGUUGAAGAUGACAUAUGGCUUAAUGAUCCAGCAGGAGACAGAACCUCAAGGUCAUUAGUGACAUGGUUCUCAUCCAGGCCAUUGCUUACAACAGGGGUUGUCUCAUCAACUGCAGAAGACAGGACGUGAGAGGAUAUUCUCUUGCCAUUGAAUUUGUAACUGUCUAGAUCCGUUAGUUCAGGAUUCCCAUUUAUUACAUCACCGUUUUCCACAGCUGACUGAGCAAAAUAUCUUGUUCCGUCAUUUGAAAUGGAUAGAUGAUGGAUCCUAGAAGUUGCUAGAUCUUUUGCAUCACCAGAUAGACGAUGUUGUGAAACCAAGCAACCAUUUCCAGAAUUGUAUGCUUCAAGGGUGUAUUUGUUCGAAUUCAUUUCUGCAUCUGGUAACGCAACAAUGUUGCCAUUCUGCAAUGUCAGUUCAGUAUCCCAUCUGCAUUCCCCGUUUAUGCCACUUGCUUCAGCAAACUCUGAUUCAAAAUUUCUCGGGUUGUCUUCGGAUGUUUCAGAACCUGGAAAUGUUGACCCGGCACUGUAUCUACAGUAUGGAUCUUGAACAUCAGGCCUCUGUCCGCUUACAUGCCUAUGCAAAGUGUUGAAAAAGAAUCUACUGAGUUCUUCAGCUACAUUUAAUUCUGGCUGUGAAAGAAUGCGUCCUAGCUUUCGAGCACCAUAGCCAAAAGCACUUCUUAUUCGGUAGAAGUUCCCUGCAGAGACAGUAGGGGUUAAAACUAUUACAUGAAGGCACAUUCAUCCCUUGCGCUCUGCAAUAACUCCUCUAUUCUCUAAUUUACUAGACUGACAACUUAUAUCCUUCUGCUUGCAAAUCAAACCAGACACUUUAAUUUAUUUUAUCUCAGAAGGUGCAAAAAGAUUCACAUGCAGCAGACGCAUCAUUAGAAAGGGGAACCACUUCUACCUUUGCUCACACUACGACCAAGGUUGUUGUUUUCUUUCAAUGGAUCAACGAUAUUGAGAUGCUUAGGAGGAAACAGCUGACGUUGAACACAACUUGGCCCCCAAAAUUCUACAUUGAUCAGUCCCCACCAUUCUAUACAUUAAGAGACCCUCCUAACUUGUUUCCUAUUGAUGCUUCAAAUCAGUAGGAAUCAUUAGUAGAAUGUACACAAAGAUUACUCCAAACCUAAGAGAACAACAUUAGAAUACAUAGUGUGUCAGCCAGCCCCGAGCCCCGAGCUAAUUAAGCUGGUUUUGUGUUACCAGUCGCUGCUCUUUUGUCUCUCAGGCUUUGGGAUCCACACAGCUGAUCCCUUCCCACCAUUCUCAGACAACGGCGGGAAAUUCUCAAUGGUUUUUUUCUUGUACUUCUGGCUUCGGUGUCCCUUGGGAUGGAUCGGUGACACUUGGGCUAACAAAAUCUGCGGUAAGCUGCCCGUCACUUUCGGCAGAAGGAAUCUCCAAUGCCAGAUGUCCAAUCGACCCAAACUCCACGAUCCUAUAUGCAGAAUGUGUUACACCAUUGACGUUGGAGUAUGGAUUGGGUUCAACAUGAUGAGAGUCUAAUGACGGUGAUUUCCAGCCAUCUACAUGACCGUGCCACUGUGGAAACUCAUGGCUGCUUCUAUCUGGAACUUUUGGCUCAUGGAAAGGAGCAAUGCGGCCAUUGCUACGAGGAGACCGUAGUGGCACUUGGUUUCUUCCCCUUGGGGUGAAAGGCCUUUCAUUGUAGUGGUUCUGCAAAAAUUAAGCAAAAAACCAUGGCUGAGAUCAAAAGUAACCACCUGAAUUGUUACCUUCCUAUGGACAACAUCCAAAUAUUAUGAAUCAGUAUACCACAUUGGGAAAAUAUGUUCCAGUUCCUCGCGGUCUAGAAACUUCUUCAGUAGCAAACAUUGGACCACGUAUUAAGGAUACAUUAAUUGCAUUGAACACAGGUCUUGGGCCAACACCAUUUGCAUUCUGCCUGUAAUGGGGCGCUCGUCUCAUUCCAUGCCAUGAGUUCUUGCUCUGCAAGUGAGCUAACAUCUUAGGAGACAUAGGAGGAACCGGAGAACUUGGUGUGUAAUCAUACCACCACCGGCCAUGGCCCAAACUAUGCAGGUGACUUUCAUAAUCACCACCUAGAUCUGACAAGGAGUUCGAUGCUUCCAGGGUUCCAACAGUACUAGCUGAUGACUGACAGCUUAAUUGACUAGGAUAAAUACUUUCGGAAGGAAAUUCAACUGGAGUUGAAGAUGACAUAUGGC